GAUGAACGCUAGCUACAGGCUUAACACAUGCAAGUCGAGGGGCAGCGGGAUUGAAGCUUGCUUCAAUUGCCGGCGACCGGCGCACGGGUGAGUAACGCGUAUCCAACCUUCCGCCUACUCGGGGAUAGCCUUUCGAAAGAAAGAUUAAUACCCGAUGGUAUCUUAAGCACGCAUGAGAUUAAGAUUAAAGAUUUAUCGGUAAGCGAUGGGGAUGCGUUCCAUUAGGCAGUUGGCGGGGUAACGGCCCACCAAACCUACGAUGGAUAGGGGUUCUGAGAGGAAGGUCCCCCACAUUGGAACUGAGACACGGUCCAAACUCCUACGGGAGGCAGCAGUGAGGAAUAUUGGUCAAUGGACGGGAGUCUGAACCAGCCAAGUAGCGUGCAGGACGACGGCCCUAUGGGUUGUAAACUGCUUUUAUAGGGGGAUAAAGUGUGCCACGUGUGGCAUAUUGCAGGUACCCUAUGAAUAAGGCCCGGCUAAUUGCCGUGCCAGCAGCCGCGGUAAUACGGAAGGUCCGGGCGUUAUCCGGGUCUAUUGGGUUUAAAGGGAGUGUAGCCCGUCUUAUAAGCGUGUUGUGAAAUGUCGGGGCUCAACCUGGGCAUUGCAGCGCGAUACUGUGAGACUUGAGUGCGCACGAAGUAGGCGGAAUUCGUCGAUGUAGCGUGUGAACAUGCCUUAGAUACUGAUCGAACG
RNAcentral lists this ribosomal RNA (696 nucleotides) under uncultured bacterium. RNAcentral's name for it is "bacterial SSU rRNA". It matches the Rfam family "Bacterial small subunit ribosomal RNA", at positions 28 to 708 of the family's 1533-position model. The record is from RNAcentral.